CCCUGCCCUAUGAAUAUUAAAUGGCUGCAGUAUCCUGACUGUGCAAAGGUAGCAUAGUAAUUAGUCUUUUAAUUGGAGUCUUGUAUGAAUGGGUUAAUGAGAUAUUAAUUUUAUUGUUUUUAUAAUUAUAAUUUAAUUUAUAAGUAAAAAAGCUUAUUUUAUUUUUUGGGACGAUAAGACCCUAUAGAACUUUAUUAUUAACUUAAUCUAAGUUAUAUUAGUUUUGAAUUAAUUUAAUUAAUUUAAUUGUUUAAUUGGGGUGAUUAAUAAAUUGAACUUUAUUUUUAUAUGUCAUUAAUUUAUGUUUUUUUGAUCCAAUGAUUUGAUUUAAAGAUUAAGUUACCUUAGGGAUAACAGCGUUAUUUUAAUGAGGAGUUCAUAUCUAUAUUAAGUUUUGCGACCUCGAUGUUGAAUUAAGAUAAGAUUGGGGGGUAG
RNAcentral lists this ribosomal RNA (435 nucleotides) under Fonsecaiulus flavovittata. Its description in RNAcentral is "partial large subunit ribosomal RNA". Lineage: Eukaryota; Metazoa; Arthropoda; Insecta; Hemiptera; Cicadellidae. The record is from RNAcentral.